CCUACGGGAGGCAGCAGUGGGGAAUAUUGCACAAUGGGGGAAACCCUGAUGCAGCGACGCCGCGUGAGUGAAGAAGUAUUUCGGUAUGUAAAGCUCUAUCAGCAGGGAAGAAAAUGACGGUACCUGACUAAGAAGCCCCGGCUAACUACGUGCCAGCAGCCGCGGUAAUACGUAGGGGGCAAGCGUUAUCCGGAUUUACUGGGUGUAAAGGGAGCGUAGGUGGUGUGGUAAGUCAGGUGUGAAAGCCCGGGGCUCAACUCCGGGAUUGCACUUGAAACUAUCAUACUAGAGUGCAGGAGAGGUAAGUGGAAUUCCUAGUGUAGCGGUGAAAUGCGUAGAUAUUAGGAGGAACACCAGUGGCGAAGGCGGCUUACUGGACUGUAACUGACACUGAGGCUCGAAAGCGUGGGGAGCAAACAGGAUUAGAUACCCGUGUAGUC
RNAcentral lists this ribosomal RNA (440 nucleotides) under uncultured Mobilitalea sp. RNAcentral describes it as "bacterial SSU rRNA". It matches the Rfam family "Bacterial small subunit ribosomal RNA", at positions 338 to 795 of the family's 1533-position model. Lineage: Bacteria; Bacillati; Bacillota; Clostridia; Lachnospirales; Lachnospiraceae. The record is from RNAcentral.